AGCAAGAUUAGAGCCUCUCUCUGGAUUGUUCCUCAGAACCAGAAGAACUGUGUGGAGUGGCAGCAACUGGAGGAAGCAGAAUGUCCCCGAGCAAGAUUGUCAAGAGAAAAAAGUUACAUGUAUAAAAUCUACAGUAGAAUUGGAAGAUGGAUCUAAUGAGAAUAACACUAAGGAAACACCAUCCUUCAAAAACUAAAAGCUCCUUGAUGAGACAAGAAAAUGAAGUGUCCCAGAAGAGGAAAUGCACAUCAGCCAUUUUCAUUUCACGUGGGAAGAACAAUAUGAGACAAACAACCUAAGAUUAAAUGAAACCAGUUGGAUUGGAGAGAUGCAUUUACAUUUUACCACCUGGAUAAGUGUAUUUUCCUCUUGUGGCUUUAUAGGCUUGGGGGCUAUUGAAAAAUAUCUGUCUAUAAAUUGAAUCAACACUCAUUAAACUCAUUAAGAGAAAUGUAGUUAGGAAUUUAGUAUGGAAAGCAAGCCCUUCGUUUUUAUUGGAUUUUACAAUAGGGAGCACUCUAAGCUUUUAGACAUUAAGGCAGGAAGGGGCUAACUAUAGAAAUUACUCCAGUGUGGGCUUCGACUUUGGAGAGGCUAUGCUUCUCUAGAGAGAAUGUAUGCACAGCAGAAGAGUAAGAUGAGGCAGAUAUUUUAUUUCCUACACAUCCCAAAAUAAUAACCCUACUCUGAUUUAUCUUACCAUUACCCCAUUUUUUCUCCCCCUCAUCCACAACAGUUCUCUAACUCCUGCCUGGUUUUCCUUUAGUUUCAUAACUCUUCACAGAUGACUUUUGAAAAUAUUUCACUCUCUGCAGCCUGAUGAUGACGACGAAUAUUUUGCUGUAUGUUCAGAAACAAUAAAUUAUUAUAUAAUUAUCACUGUGCACAAGA
Molecule: long non-coding RNA, 891 nt
Organism: Homo sapiens (human)
Lineage: Eukaryota; Metazoa; Chordata; Mammalia; Primates; Hominidae
Source: Ensembl